This 334-nucleotide ribosomal RNA is filed under the name uncultured Faecalibacterium sp. RNAcentral's name for it is "bacterial SSU rRNA". It matches the Rfam family "Bacterial small subunit ribosomal RNA", at positions 355 to 707 of the family's 1533-position model. Lineage: Bacteria; Bacillati; Bacillota; Clostridia; Eubacteriales; Oscillospiraceae. The record is from RNAcentral.
UGGGGAAUAUUGCACAAUGGGGGAAACCCUGAUGCAGCGACGCCGCGUGGAGGAAGAAGGUCUUCGGAUUGUAAACUCCUGUUGUUGAGGAAGAUAAUGACGGUACUCAACAAGGAAGUGACGGCUAACUACGUGCCAGCAGCCGCGGUAAAACGUAGGUCACAAGCGUUGUCCGGAAUUACUGGGUGUAAAGGGCAUGCAGGCGGUUCAUCAAGUAGGAUGUGAAAUCCCCGGGCUCAACCUGGGAACAGCAUACUAAACUGGUGGACUAGAGUAUUGCAGGGGAGACGGAAUUCCAGGUGUAGCGGUGGAAUGCGUAGAUAUCUGGAAGAAC